RNAcentral lists this ribosomal RNA (503 nucleotides) under uncultured bacterium. Its description in RNAcentral is "bacterial SSU rRNA". It matches the Rfam family "Bacterial small subunit ribosomal RNA", at positions 29 to 507 of the family's 1533-position model. The record is from RNAcentral.
AUGAACGCUGGCGGCGUGCCUAACACAUUCAAGUCGAACGGAGUUGUUUGGUCAGAUCCUUCGGGUGACGACCUUUCAACUUAGUGGCGGACGGGUGAGUAACGCGUGAGCAACCUGCCUCUGCGUGGGGGAUAACGACUGGAAACGGUCGCUAAUACCGCAUAAUGUAGCGAUCUCGCAUGUGAUUGCUACCAAAGAUUUAUUGCGCAGAGAUGGGCUCGCGUCUGAUUAGCUAGUUGGUGGGGUAAUGGCCUACCAAGGCAACGAUGCAUAGCCGGACUGAGAGGUUGAACGGCCACACUGGGACUGAGACACGGCCCAGACUCCUACGGGAGACAGCAGUUAGGAAUAUUCGGCAAUGGGGGAAACCCUGACCGAGCAAUGCCGCGUGUGAGAUGAAGGUCCUUUGGAUUGUAAAUCACUUUUAUUUGGGAAGAACUGUAAGUAUAGGAAAUGAUACUUACUUGACGGUACCUUUUGAAUAAGCCCCGGCUAACUACGUG